GUGUCUAAUCUUACCUGACAAGCAGUAAAUACAACAAACUAACAGAAAUGAUAAUAUUAACUAUUAAUCCACCAAAGUUUAAUGUUAGUUCUGCAUACAUUGUAGCUCAUGGCUAUGCUCCAGAGGUUCUUGAGUUUCUUCCUACUUAACCGUUUCUAUAAUAUAAUAAAGGAAUGAGCUACACAGCUCAGUAAAAUCAAUUUAAACUUAAACCAAAAGAAUUGAAAUAGAUAUAGAUAAAUUCCUCAUUUUUCCUCAAUGACUUCCUUCACCCAAAUCAUUCUCAGGUCUAUCUCAUACUCAGCCCAGGACCUGUCCAUUUCUCCAACUUAGUACCCUUGUAUCAUGAAGAUUUAUAACAACAACUCCGUGCUUCUACUCCAACUUGCAACUUCUCGAUUUUGACUUUUUUUUUCUCUCUUGCAGAUUCCUUGUCUUUUUCUCUUUUUUCCAACUAAUUUCAAUCAUUUCAAUCUACAUAAUAGAUUAUGCAAAUUUUAAAAAAUGAUCCACAUUUAACAUACUUGCAUUUUCACCAGAUUAUAACACACACACAUCGACCAUGAGGGCCACGCACACAAACACACACAUCUUGCACUUAGCAUACACGACACAACCCUUUUGGACCUUCAUUUCUCGGCCACAUUUCUUGUCUCAUAUACAACACACAUCUGGGACAUCUACUCCCCUUCAGACCCUCUAUUAUCUGGUCUACUCUACUGACUAAUCACUAGUCAGCUGAUACACAUCACCACGACCAAUACUGGCCACACUCACACCAUAAAAAAGGAAACAACAUACAGAAAGAUGUGGAUUAGUCCUAGUUUAAUCUUAUUUAAUAUUUACUCUCUAGUUUUUUAUCAUUUAUUGUUCUCAAUAUACCACACUACUACCCAGUCCAUUCACGACUCCAUAUUCAACUCCUUUCAUACCCAUUCAUCAUUAUUACUAUUCUAUUAUCACCCUCAUUUGUUGAUUUGGUCACUUAAUGAUAUGGGUCACCUGAAAAUUCUUUAGUUCAUCUAUGAGCAAUAAGUAUGCAAAAUCACUAUUGAACUCAUACCAGAAUCAGUUCCACGACCUCAUAAAUGGCCACAUACACACCACCAGUGAACAUGUUGUAAUUUAUUUAUUUUGACAGUACAUUGAUUUCAGUUAGGCCAUUUUAUCAUUUCCCUUUCUACAUUCUACUUCUAGUUUGGUUCAAACUUCAUCUAUUGGGUCCUCCCUUCCCCUUUCCUUCUGUUUCCCUAGCACCACGGUAUGUUAUUUAUCUUUCAACCCUAUUGUUCUCCAUAUUUUCCUUAUUUCCACCCCUUUGUAGGCCCUUAAUCGCAUCAACUACUUAUUGAUAUAUGUGUAUCUGAUCUCAUCAUGUUCCCUUAUGAGGUCUACUAGUUGAUUUUUACCGAUCUGUAUAGUACAAGUUUGAUCUAUCCCUAAACCCCCAAACUUAACUCAGAUUGAAAGUUAUACCCACUGUACAUGAAUUAAUUAUUAUCAGAACCGUCCUUACCACAAGACUU
Molecule: long non-coding RNA, 1526 nt
Filed under: Carica papaya (papaya)
Lineage: Eukaryota; Viridiplantae; Streptophyta; Magnoliopsida; Brassicales; Caricaceae
Description: long non-coding RNA (CPAP_LNC016683)
Source: RNAcentral